RNAcentral lists this long non-coding RNA (1106 nucleotides) under Lonchura striata (white-rumped munia). RNAcentral's name for it is "domestica (Bengalese finch) lncRNA (ENSLSDG00000005629.1)". The record is from RNAcentral. Lineage: Eukaryota; Metazoa; Chordata; Aves; Passeriformes; Estrildidae.
GUCAGAGAGGUCCUGCAGAGACUUCAACAAAUUGGAGGGCUCAGCAUCCAUUAACCACAAGAAAUUCAGCAAGAGUAAGUGCAGCGCAUUGAUGCCGCCCUUGUCCAGAAACACGGAUAUGCUGCACACUAUGAAAAUAAUGCCCUUUCCAGGGCAAGAUGCCAGAUGCUCUCUGAUGCCCGUACUCUCUUCCUGCUCUUGCCCACCUUGUUGUUGUAGCGUGCACAUGCCGUCUCGGCAUUCAGUGCACAGUGAAGGCAAUCGCAAAAGUCCAGCAGAUGCUGACUCCCAAACACAAGGCGCUGUCUAUGUUCUUGCUUCUUGACAAUUCAACACAGCCCUUCUUUUCUGUAGCUGCCAUCGAGGUCUCUGCAUCUCGGAGCGGCAGAGGCCAAGCACGAAUUUCCCAGGUGAGCCUGCAUCAGGACGAAUUUAAAACCCAGGAAAGUUGUCCUGGAACACCUUCCAUGAGUAUGCUAGAAUGGAAUUGAAAAGGCAGGCGAGCGGCCACCACCGUCCUCUAGCAGUCCUUAGGGUGCGCGCAGAAGUCCGGUGCUCUGCGGCUUCGUUCUUCGCCCUCGUACAAGCUACCGCUCUGUCCGGCUCCCGGAGCAGGAGAAGCGGCUGCUUCGCGCACACAACAGCGGAGCGGCAGCCGUACGCUCCGAAGCGCUGCUUCAGCCGAAAGACGCCGGCGACCGGCGCUCGGCUUCGGACAGCUCCGGAGACCCGUAGUGUGCGUCUGCACUAGACUGCAUCGUAGUGAAAAGUUUUACCAGCGUAUCUCGCCGGUAGAAAGUGUAGCAGCGCAGCGCACUUAUCCCGCCCUUGUCCGGAAACACGGAUUUGCUGCACACUCCAAAAACACUGCUUUUUCCAUGGUACUAAGUAAGCUGCUCUCUGAUGCCCGUUCUCUUCUGCCCACUCUUGCCCAGCUCGUUGUUGUAGCGUGCACGUGCCGUCCUGGCAUUCAGUGCACAGCGAUAGCAAUCGCAAAAGUCCAGCAGCUGCUGACUCCCAAACACAAGCCGCUGUCUACGUUCUUGCUUCUCCACACCUCAACGGAGUCCUUCAUUUCGGCAGCUGCCAUCGAGUUCUCUGCAUCU